Molecule: ribosomal RNA, 354 nt
Filed under: Triticum aestivum (bread wheat)
Lineage: Eukaryota; Viridiplantae; Streptophyta; Magnoliopsida; Poales; Poaceae
Description: partial small subunit ribosomal RNA
Source: RNAcentral
CUUUUUUCCAAUCUGCUCCUCUCCCCCUCGCCCACGAACUCCUCGCCGCCGCCGCCACCCGCGCCGGCCGCUUCCGGCGACCUCUGAUGCCGCGCAGCACGCCCCCGAGCUCCCCAUGGUCCGCGCCUCCCUCCGCUUCGGCCAGAUUCUCCGCUCCCGUCCUCUACCGCCUGCUCGCAACCCCACCCCCGUGGCUAGGGUUUCAGGCAGGGCUUCGCCGGCGCGUCUCCGGCGGCCCCAGUUAUUUGGCUCAUCGUCGUGUCGCAAGUUUCUGACGUCGCUGUACACCGUGGACUUUGCCGGAAAUCCGUCUGCACGUACUCCACCGUCUGCCGGAACUUCGUCUGACCUGAG